AUGAACGCUGGCGGCGUGCCUAAUACAUGCAAGUCGAGCGAACAGACGAGGAGCUUGCUCCUCUGACGUUAGCGGCGGACGGGUGAGUAACACGUGGAUAACCUACCUAUAAGACUGGGAUAACUUCGGGAAACCGGAGCUAAUACCGGAUAAUAUAUUGAACCGCAUGGUUCAAUAGUGAAAGACGGUUUUGCUGUCACUUAUAGAUGGAUCCGCGCCGCAUUAGCUAGUUGGUAAGGUAACGGCUUACCAAGGCAACGAUGUGUAGCCGACCUAAGAGGGUGAUCGGCCACACUGGAACUGAGACACGGUCCAGACUCCUACGGGAGGCAGCAGUAGGGAAUCUUCCGCAAUGGGCGAAAGCUUGACGGAGCAACGCCGCGUGAGUGAUGAAGGUCUUCGGAUCGUAAAACUCUGUUAUUAGGGAAGAACAAAUGUGUAAGUAACUAUGCACGUCUUGACGGUACCUAAUCAGAAAGCCACGGCUAACUACGUG
RNAcentral lists this ribosomal RNA (496 nucleotides) under uncultured bacterium. Its description in RNAcentral is "partial 16S ribosomal RNA". It matches the Rfam family "Bacterial small subunit ribosomal RNA", at positions 29 to 507 of the family's 1533-position model. The record is from RNAcentral.